Molecule: long non-coding RNA, 589 nt
Filed under: Homo sapiens (human)
Lineage: Eukaryota; Metazoa; Chordata; Mammalia; Primates; Hominidae
Description: HSALNT0263020
Source: RNAcentral
CCAGCGCCUUUCCUUUCUCCAGCUUCUGCUCUGCCCCAAGAGUGGUCGCCUUCGUGGCAGGGCACGACUCUCUCCCAGCUCGGGUCGCCGCCCACAUUAGUGUGGGGCCCUGCGGCCUAGCGUCCCUCACCAGAGGCCUCCCCUUGCCUAGCUGGACCGCCGAGGGACAUCGACGAGUAUCCUCCUCCUGCUGUCCCCGGCUUCGCCUGCCGCCCCUAACCGGCCAGUCAAGAUGGCCGCCGCUGGGUGAGAACAUCAGCUUUCCAAACCAGAUGUGGUAUCUCAGUUAGAGGAGGCAGAAGAUUUCUGGCCAGUGGAGAGAGGAAUUCCUCAAGACACCAUUCCAGCAUUCACUGGCAAACAGCACUGUGAGGAAGACAGCUGCCUAAGGCCUGUUUGUCACCCUGGAAGGGAAGCAGCAGAGAGGUAGAAGUAUCCUGAGAGAAGAAAAUAGUGUCAAGAGGGAGAAAGCAGCAGCUCCCAUCAAGCCCUUACCACAUGCUGUGCCUGGACUUUGGUAUCUCAUCACUUUGGGUGAAGAAACUCAGGCUCAAGAAGUUAAUCUCUCUUGAUUAAACCCCUUGCUUUG